This 464-nucleotide ribosomal RNA is filed under the name uncultured bacterium. RNAcentral describes it as "partial 16S ribosomal RNA". It matches the Rfam family "Bacterial small subunit ribosomal RNA", at positions 28 to 507 of the family's 1533-position model. The record is from RNAcentral.
GACGAACGCUGGCGGCGUGCUUAACACAUGCAAGUCGAACGGAAAGGCCCUGCUUGCAGGGUACUCGAGUGGCGAACGGGUGAGUAACACGUGGGUGAUCUGCCCUGCACUUCGGGAUAAGCCUAGGAAACUGGGUCUAAUACCGGAUAGGAGCCAUUUUUAGUGUGAUGGUUGGAAAGUUUUUUCGGUGUAGGAUGAGCUCGCGGCCUAUCAGCUUGUUGGUGGGGUAAUGGCCUACCAAGGCGGCGACGGGUAGCCGGCCUGAGAGGGUGGACGGCCACAUUGGGACUGAGAUACGGCCCAGACUCCUACGGGAGGCAGCAGUGGGGAAUAUUGCACAAUGGGCGCAAGCCUGAUGCAGCGACGCCGCGUGGGGGAUGACGGCCUUCGGGUUGUAAACUCCUUUCGCUAGGGACGAAGCUUUUGUGACGGUACCUAGAUAAGAAGCACCGGCUAACUACGUG